GGGCUCAUAGCUCAGUGGUAGAGUGCCUCCCUUGCAAGGAGGAUGCCCUGGGUUCGAAUCCCAGUGAGUCCA
RNAcentral lists this transfer RNA (72 nucleotides) under Halorubrum sp. Atlit-8R. Its description in RNAcentral is "tRNA-Ala". It matches the Rfam family "tRNA". Rfam says of the family: Transfer RNA (tRNA) molecules are approximately 80 nucleotides in length. Their secondary structure includes four short double-helical elements and three loops (D, anti-codon, and T loops). Further hydrogen bonds mediate the characteristic L-shaped molecular structure. tRNAs have two regions of fundamental functional importance: the anti-codon, which is responsible for specific mRNA codon recognition, and the 3' end, to which the tRNAs corresponding amino acid is attached (by aminoacyl-tRNA synthetases). tRNAs cope with the degeneracy of the genetic code in two manners: having more than one tRNA (with a specific anti-codon) for a particular amino acid; and 'wobble' base-pairing, i.e. permitting non-standard base-pairing at the 3rd anti-codon position. Lineage: Archaea; Methanobacteriati; Methanobacteriota; Halobacteria; Halobacteriales; Haloferacaceae. The record is from RNAcentral. RNAcentral also lists the same sequence under 3 other names.